AUUGAACGCUGGCGGCAGGCCUAACACAUGCAAGUCGAGCGAGCGGCGGACGGGUGAGUAAUGUCUGGGAAACUGCCUGAUGGAGGGGGAUAACUACUGGAAACGGUAGCUAAUACCGCAUACCAUCAGAUGUGCCCAGCUGGGAUUGGCUAGUAGGUGGGGUAACGGCUCACCUAGGCGACGAUCCCUAGCUGGUCUGAGAGGAUGACCAGGCACACUGGAACGGAGACACGGGCCAGACUCCUCCGGGAGGCAGGAGUGGGGAAUAUUGCACAAUGGGCGCAAGCCGGAUGCAGCCAUGCCGCGUGUGUGAAGAAGGCGUUCGGGUUGUAAAGCACUUUCAGCGGGGAGGCGUUACCCGCAGAAGAAGCACCGGCUAACUCCGUGCCAGCAGCCGCGGUAAUUC
Molecule: ribosomal RNA, 406 nt
Filed under: uncultured bacterium
Lineage: Bacteria
Description: partial 16S ribosomal RNA
Rfam family: Bacterial small subunit ribosomal RNA
Source: RNAcentral